UUUCACCGAGCCGAGCCACAGCGGCCGCUCGGGGUCGCGGUCGCGGCCGUAGGUGGCCAGCAGCGCCCCGGCCUC
RNAcentral lists this antisense RNA (75 nucleotides) under Nocardia terpenica. RNAcentral's name for it is "ASpks TB sRNA". It matches the Rfam family "ASpks TB sRNA". Lineage: Bacteria; Bacillati; Actinomycetota; Actinomycetes; Mycobacteriales; Nocardiaceae. The record is from Rfam by way of RNAcentral.